CGCACUAUAGUUUAUACAAAACAUUGACCUGCAAAAUCAAGAAAGGAAAUAAACAUCCUGGUGUGU
This 66-nucleotide transfer RNA is filed under the name Ocinebrellus inornatus (Asian drill). RNAcentral's name for it is "tRNA-Cys". RNAcentral also lists the same sequence under 1 other name. The record is from RNAcentral. Lineage: Eukaryota; Metazoa; Mollusca; Gastropoda; Neogastropoda; Muricidae.